UGCUGAGAGAAGUAGCAGUUA
Molecule: non-coding RNA, 21 nt
Filed under: Mus musculus (house mouse)
Lineage: Eukaryota; Metazoa; Chordata; Mammalia; Rodentia; Muridae
Source: RNAcentral